CUACGGGAGGCAGCAGUGAGGAAUAUUGCCCAAUGGGCGCAAGCCUGAGGCAGCAACGCCGCGUGGACGAUGAAGGCCUUCGGGUUGUAAAGUCCUUUUCUGGGGGAAGAGCAAGGACGGUACCCCAGGAAGAGGUCCCGGCUAACUACGUGCCAGCAGCCGCGGUAAUACGUAGGGGACAAGCGUUGUCCGGAUUCAUUGGGCGUAAAGAGCUCGUAGGCGGUCUAGUAAGUUGGGUGUGAAAGCUCCGGGCUCAACCCGGAGAGGUCACCCAAAACUGCUAUGACUAGAGUCCAGUAGAGGAGCGUGGAAUUCCUGGUGUAGCGGUGAAAUGCGCAGAUAUCAGGAGGAACACCAGCAGCGAAGGCGGCGCUCUGGGCUGGAACUGAUGCUGAGGAGCGAAAGCAUGGGUGGCAAACAGGAUUAGAAACCCCGGUAGUCC
This 442-nucleotide ribosomal RNA is filed under the name uncultured bacterium. RNAcentral's name for it is "bacterial SSU rRNA". It matches the Rfam family "Bacterial small subunit ribosomal RNA", at positions 339 to 796 of the family's 1533-position model. The record is from RNAcentral.